Molecule: ribosomal RNA, 639 nt
Filed under: uncultured bacterium
Lineage: Bacteria
Description: bacterial SSU rRNA
Rfam family: Bacterial small subunit ribosomal RNA
Source: RNAcentral
UGCAAGUCGAACGAGAAUCUGUGGAAAGAGGAUUCGUCCAAUUGAAGCAGAGGACAGUGGCGGACGGGUGAGUAACGCGUGAGGAACCUGCCUUUCAGAGGGGGACAACAGUUGGAAACGACUGCUAAUACCGCAUAACAUAUAGAUGUCGCAUGGCAUUUAUAUCAAAGAUUUAUCGCUGAAAGAUGGCCUCGCGUCUGAUUAGCUAGUUGGUGAGGUAACGGCCCACCAAGGCGACGAUCAGUAGCCGGACUGAGAGGUUGAACGGCCACAUUGGGACUGAGAUACGGCCCAGACUCCUACGGGAGGCAGCAGUGGGGAAUAUUGGGCAAUGGGCGCAAGCCUGACCCAGCAACGCCGCGUGAAGGAAGAAGGCUUUCGGGUUGUAAACUUCUUUUGUCAGGGACGAGUAGAAGACGGUACCUGACGAAUAAGCCACGGCUAACUACGUGCCAGCAGCCGCGGUAAUACGUAGGUGGCAAGCGUUGUCCGGAUUUACUGGGUGUAAAGGGCGUGUAGCCGGGAGGGCAAGUCAGAUGUGAAAUCCACGGGCUCAACUCGUGAACUGCAUUUGAAACUACUCUUCUUGGGUAUCGGAGAGGCAAUCGGAAUUCCUAGUGUAGCGGUGAAAUGCGUAGA